UGUGAUUCAUAAGUUGUGAAUUCAAUUUACUUAUCCGAUCGUAUAAAAAAUGAUUUGUGUAUGUUAGUUGAGAGUGCACGCUUAAUUUUCAUGCAUGAAUUUAACGCUAGAAUAUAAGGGAGUUUCACCUAAUCGUUAUGAACUUAUAUUCACAAGUAGUGAAGGUUGCUAGUCACAAUCACGUUAAGUAAAUUCUUGGCAUAAGUUUCAUGCAAAUCAUAGUAACGAGUGCUUCGUCAAUGCUUAUGUUUUUCAUAGAACUUAAUGAUUCUUGCUUGUAUCUCUAUUAUGCAAUUCAUGUAGGGAACUUGUAGGGAAUGUUUUGGGUUGUCGUAUGCAAUCAUCCAACCCAAUAACUUGUGGAAAAAUUGAGGGUUAAUUAGUGCAAUUCACGGUUAAUUUGGGGCGUUGAGUAUUCAUAGCUUAUCGAAAAGCAACUGGAA
Molecule: long non-coding RNA, 443 nt
Filed under: Malus domestica (apple)
Lineage: Eukaryota; Viridiplantae; Streptophyta; Magnoliopsida; Rosales; Rosaceae
Description: long non-coding RNA (MDOM_LNC006762)
Source: RNAcentral